GACGAACGCUGGCGGCGUGCUUAACACAUGCAAGUCGAACGAAAAUACCAAGCUUGCUUGGUUGAUUAGUGGCGAACGGGUGAGUAACACGUGAGUAACCUGCCCCUUACUUUCCUGGAUAACUGCUCGAAAGGGUAGCUAAUACGGGAUAUUCUGACCAGCCUGCAUGGGUUGGUUUGGAAAGGUUGUUUUUCUGGUAAGGGAUGGGCUCGCGGCCUAUCAGCUUGUUGGUGGGGUGAUGGCCUACCAAGGCUUUGACGGGUAGCCGGCCUGAGAGGGUGGACGGUCACACUGGGACUGAGAUACGGCCCAGACUCCUACGGGAGGAAGCAGUGGGGAAUAUUGCACAAUGGGCGCAAGCCUGAUGCAGCGACGCCGCGUGAGGGAUGAAGGCCUUCGGGUUGUAAACCUCUUUCGUCAGGGAACAAGGCACUGCUUUUUUGGUGGUGUUGAGGGUACCUGGAUAAGAAGCGCCGGCUAACUACGUG
This 488-nucleotide ribosomal RNA is filed under the name uncultured bacterium. RNAcentral describes it as "partial 16S ribosomal RNA". It matches the Rfam family "Bacterial small subunit ribosomal RNA", at positions 28 to 507 of the family's 1533-position model. The record is from RNAcentral.